This 118-nucleotide ribosomal RNA is filed under the name Desulfotomaculum nigrificans. The record is from RNAcentral. Lineage: Bacteria; Bacillati; Bacillota; Clostridia; Eubacteriales; Desulfotomaculaceae.
UCUGGUGGCGAUACCGGAGGGGGUACACCUGUUCCCAUCCCGAACACAGCAGUUAAGCCCUCCAGGGCCGAUGGUACUUGGGGCUCACGCCCCUGGGAGAGUAGGUCGCUGCCAGAAU